UGGGUACAAGAUCUACCCGGGACACGGGCGGCGCUACGCCAGGACCGAUGGGAAGGUUUUCCAGUUUCUUAAUGCCAAAUGUGAGUCCGCAUUCCUUUCCAAAAGGAACCCUCGGCAAAUUAACUGGACUGUCCUCUACAGAAGAAAACACAAGAAAGGACAGUCGAAAUUCAAAAGAAAAGAACCCGCCGUGCAGUCAAGUUCCAGCGGGCCAUCACAGGCGCUUCUCUGGCUGAUAUAAUGGCCAAGAGGAAUCAGAAACCAGAAGUUAGGAAAGCUCAGCGAGAACAGGCUAUCAGGGCUGCCAAGGAAGCAAAAAAGGCUAAGCAGGCAUCAAAGAAGACAGCAAUGGCUGCUGCCAAGGUAACUAUUGGGGAUCUUCUUGGGUUUUUUAAAAUAGGAAAUUUUAUCCUUCAGGCAAGAGUUACUUAGCAAAGUGCAGGUUCAAGUUUCUAUUGGGAAUGGUUGUAGCUUAAUUUCUAGAUAGGAUGGUUGUACCUCUGGUUUCUAGUGAGCUUUAAUUUUAGAUGUGUUAGAAAAGGAAAGCCAUCUUUGCCUCUUUGUUUUGGGUGAGUGGGUUUCUGGGAUGAGCUGUUACUGUAACUCCGUGGUUUGGAGCUGUCAGCUAGGCUUAAGAACAACCCUGCUGCCUAGCUAGGAUUUUGACUGCUUCCCUAUGCUCGGCUUGGCGUUUGUGGUUUUAAGUUUUGUUUUGAAGUAAUUUAUACUGAGUAAGGUUACAACACUGAGUUUACCCAGCUUUUUCUAGUAAAGAAUUUAAAGCCAGAGCUAGGUGGUGUGGUGACUCAUACGAGCAUCGGGAGGCUGAGGAAGGCAGAUCUCUGGGAAGCCAGCCAGGGCGACUCAGACACCUGGUUUCAAAAAACUUUUCUUUAAAGCUAGAGAGUUAAUUUCAGUUUUUCAUUUUUAGGUGGGCAAUGACUGCUAGAAAGGCAGUUUGUACUGGCCCUAGUUUGGUCCUGAGGACUAUAAGGUGAAAGGAAAGAACACCUGUAGCACUCUAGCCCUGAACCUGCAAGUGUAAUAAAAAUUAAUAAAAAAAAAAGUUCUGGGCCAUCCAGCUGGCGCAGCAGGUAAAGAAAGGCACCUGUUGCAAAGCCUGCGAUCGUGAGCUUAGUCUUUGAGAACCACGUGGCAGGAGGAGCGCUGACUCCAACAAGCUGUCUAUGAUCUCUACAGUGUGCUGUGGUGUGCCGUGCCCAAAAUAAAAAUACACCAUUCUUGAAUGGCUGCACCAAGCAGUGUGGGCCUCCAGUCCCAGCCCUGACACAGGGUCAAAGCUAGCCUGGGUAUCCUUCAGAAACCCCAAACUUUGUUCAUUGUGCCUUACUGUCCAAUCUACAACAGUAUCUGUUAUAUGGUGGAAGUGAAUUUUAAAAAGGAGGUACUUUGAAAUUGAUAAUGAAGUUAAGACACUAAGGUAUUAAAGAAUGCGAACAGUAAGGGCAAAGCAGUAGUUCCAUUGAAUAAUGUGAUGUUAUUUUUUUACAGGCUCCCACAAAGGCAGCCCCUAAACAAAAGAUUGUGAAGCCUGUGAAGGUCUCUGCUCCCAGAGUUGGUGGGAAACGCUAAUUUAGUAGAUGAGAGUUUAAAAAUAAAGAUUUGUCUCUAGGU
This 1635-nucleotide long non-coding RNA is filed under the name Rattus norvegicus (Norway rat). Its description in RNAcentral is "long non-coding RNA NONRATT006952". Lineage: Eukaryota; Metazoa; Chordata; Mammalia; Rodentia; Muridae. The record is from RNAcentral.